GACGAACGCUGGCGGCGGGCUUAACACAUGCAAGUCGAACGGCAAGGCCCUGCUUGUGUGGGGUGCUCGAGUGGCGAACGGGUGAGUAACACGUGAGUAACCUGCCCUUGACUUUGGGAUAACUUCAGGAAACUGGGGCUAAUACCGGAUAGGAGCUCCUGCUGCAGGGUGGGGGUUGGAAAGUUUCGGCGGGUGGGGAUGGACUCGCGGCUUAUCGGCUUGUUGGUGGGGUAGUGGCUUACCAAGGCUUUGACGGGUAGCCGGCCUGAGAGGGGGACCGGCCACAUGGGGCCUGAGAUACGGCCCAGACUCCUACGGGAGGCAGCAGUGGGGAAUCUUGCCCAGUGGGCGGACGCCUGAUGCAGCAACGCCGCGUGCGGGAUGACGGCCUUCGGGUUGUAAACCGCUUUCGCCUGUGACGAAGCGUGAGUGACGGUAAUGGGUAAAGAAGCACCGGCUAACUACGUG
RNAcentral lists this ribosomal RNA (468 nucleotides) under uncultured bacterium. Its description in RNAcentral is "partial 16S ribosomal RNA". It matches the Rfam family "Bacterial small subunit ribosomal RNA", at positions 28 to 507 of the family's 1533-position model. The record is from RNAcentral.